UGUGGCAGGUACCCAAUCCUGCCGUGCCGAAGCUAACGCGAUAAGCAAUCCGCCUGGGGAGUACGGUCGCGAGGCUGAAACUCAAGGGAAUUGACGGGGGCCCGCACAAGCGGUGGAGCAUGUGGUUUAAUUCGACGCAACGCGAAGAACCUUACCUGGGCUCGAAAUGUAGUGGAAUCCGGCAGAAACGUCGGCGUCUAGCAAUAGACCGCUAUAUAGGUGCUGCAUGGCUGUCGUCAGCUCGUGUCGUGAGAUGUUGGGUUAAGUCCCGCAACGAGCGCAACCCUUAUCUUCAGUUGCUACCAUUUAGUUGAGCACUCUGACGAAACCGCCUCGGAUAACGGGGAGGAAGGUGGGGAUGACGUCAAGUCCUCAUGGCCUUUAUGUCCAGGGCUACACACGUGCUACAAUGGCCGGUACAAACCGCUGCAACCCCGCGAGGGUGAGCUAAUCGGAAAAAGCCGGCCUCAGUUCGGAUUGGAGUCUGCAACUCGACUCCAUGAAGCUGGAAUCGCUAGUAAUCGUGGAUCAGCAUGCCACGGUGAAUACGUUCCCGGGCCUUGUACACUCCGCC
RNAcentral lists this ribosomal RNA (574 nucleotides) under uncultured bacterium. RNAcentral describes it as "bacterial SSU rRNA". It matches the Rfam family "Bacterial small subunit ribosomal RNA", at positions 821 to 1394 of the family's 1533-position model. The record is from RNAcentral.